This 778-nucleotide ribosomal RNA is filed under the name uncultured bacterium. RNAcentral's name for it is "bacterial SSU rRNA". It matches the Rfam family "Bacterial small subunit ribosomal RNA", at positions 64 to 812 of the family's 1533-position model. The record is from RNAcentral.
GAACGAAGCUUUCUUUCACCGAAUGCUUGCAUUCACCGAAAGAAGCUUAGUGGCGAACGGGUGAGUAACACGUAGGCAACCUGCCCAAAAGAGGGGGAUAACACUUGGAAACAGGUGCUAAUACCGCAUAACCAUGAACACCGCAUGAUGUUCAUGUAAAAGACGGCUUUUGCUGUCACUUUUGGAUGGGCCUGCGGCGUAUUAACUUGUUGGUGGGGUAACGGCCUACCAAGGUGAUGAUACGUAGCCGAACUGAGAGGUUGAUCGGCCACAUUGGGACUGAGACACGGCCCAAACUCCUACGGGAGGCAGCAGUAGGGAAUCUUCCACAAUGGACGAAAGUCUGAUGGAGCAACGCCGCGUGAAUGAAGAAGGCCUUCGGGUCGUAAAAUUCUGUUGUCAGAGAAGAACGUGCGUGAGAGUAACUGUUCACGUAUUGACGGUAUCUGACCAGAAAGCCACGGCUAACUACGUGCCAGCAGCCGCGGUAAUACGUAGGUGGCAAGCGUUGUCCGGAUUUAUUGGGCGUAAAGGGAACGCAGCGGUCUUUUAAGUCUGAUGUGAAAGCCUUCGGCUUAACCGAAGUAGUGCAUUGGAAACUGGAAGACUUGAGUGCAGAAGAGGAGAGUGGAACUCCAUGUGUAGCGGUGAAAUGCGUAGAUAUAUGGAAGAACACCAGUGGCGAAAGCGGCUCUCUGGUCUGUAACUGACGCUGAGUUCGAAAGCGUGGGUAGCAAACAGGAUUAGAUACCCUGGUAGUCCACGCCGUAAACGAUGA